Molecule: transfer RNA, 86 nt
Filed under: Candidatus Woesebacteria bacterium
Lineage: Bacteria; Candidatus Woeseibacteriota
Description: tRNA-Leu
Rfam family: tRNA
About the family: Transfer RNA (tRNA) molecules are approximately 80 nucleotides in length. Their secondary structure includes four short double-helical elements and three loops (D, anti-codon, and T loops).
Source: RNAcentral
GCCGGGGUGCUGGAAUGGUAGACAGUCCAGUCUCAAAAACUGGUGGCCUCAAAGCCGUGAGGGUUCGACUCCCUCCCCCGGCACCA